GACGAACGCUGGCGGCGUGCUUAACACAUGCAAGUCGAACGGAAAGGCCCUGCUUUUGUGGGGUGCUCGAGUGGCGAACGGGUGAGUAACACGUGAGUAACCUGCCCUUGACUUUGGGAUAACUUCAGGAAACUGGGGCUAAUACCGGAUAGGAGCUCCUGCUGCAUGGUGGGGGUUGGAAAGUUUCGGCGGUUGGGGAUGGACUCGCGGCUUAUCAGCUUGUUGGUGGGGUAGUGGCUUACCAAGGCUUUGACGGGUAGCCGGCCUGAGAGGGUGACCGGCCACAUUGGGACUGAGAUACGGUCCAGACUCCUACGGGAGGCAGCAGUGGGGAAUAUUGCACAAUGGGCGGAAGCCUGAUGCAGCAACGCCGCGUGCGGGAUGACGGCCUUCGGGUUGUAAACCGCUUUCGCCUGUGACGAAGCGUGAGUGACGGUAAUGGGUAAAGAAGCACCGGCUAACUACGUGC
This 469-nucleotide ribosomal RNA is filed under the name uncultured bacterium. RNAcentral describes it as "partial 16S ribosomal RNA". It matches the Rfam family "Bacterial small subunit ribosomal RNA", at positions 28 to 508 of the family's 1533-position model. The record is from RNAcentral.